This 921-nucleotide ribosomal RNA is filed under the name Irpex lacteus. RNAcentral describes it as "LSU rRNA". It matches the Rfam family "Eukaryotic large subunit ribosomal RNA", at positions 38 to 968 of the family's 3401-position model. Lineage: Eukaryota; Fungi; Basidiomycota; Agaricomycetes; Polyporales; Irpicaceae. The record is from RNAcentral.
GCAUAUCAAUAAGCGGAGGAAAAGAAACUAACAAGGAUUCCCCUAGUAACUGCGAGUGAAGCGGGAAAAGCUCAAAUUUAAAAUCUGGCGGCUUUGGUCGUCCGAGUUGUAUUCUAGAGAAGUGUUUUCCGCGUUGGACCGUGUAUAAGUCUCUUGGAAUAGAGCGUCAUAGAGGGUGAGAAUCCCGUCUUUGACACGGACUACCAAUGCUUUGUGAUACACUCUCAAAGAGUCGAGUUGUUUGGGAAUGCAGCUCAAAAUGGGUGGUAAAUUCCAUCUAAAGCUAAAUAUUGGCGAGAGACCGAUAGCGAACAAGUACCGUGAGGGAAAGAUGAAAAGCACUUUGGAAAGAGAGUUAAACAGUACGUGAAAUUGCUGAAAGGGAAACGCUUGAAGUCAGUCGCGUUAGCUAGAACUCAACCAGGCUUGCUUGGCGUAUUUUCUAGUUAACGGGCCAGCAUCAGUUUUGACCGCAGGAAAAGGGCCAGGGAAAUGUGGCAUCUUCGGAUGUGUUAUAGUCUCUGGUCGUAUACUGUGAUUGGGACUGAGGACCGCAGCACGCGCAAGCUGUGCUUAGGAUGCUGGCGUAAUGGCUUUAAACGACCCGUCUUGAAACACGGACCAAGGAGUCUAACAAACCUGCGAGUAUUUGGGUGGUAAACCCGAGUGCGCAAUGAAAGUGAAAGUUGGGAUCCCUGUCGUGGGGAGCACCGACGCCCGGACCAGACCUUCUGUGACGGAUCUGCGGUAGAGCAUGUUUGUUGGGACCCGAAAGAUGGUGAACUAUGCCUGAAUAGGGUGAAGCCAGAGGAAACUCUGGUGGAGGCUCGUAGCGAUUCUGACGUGCAAAUCGAUCGUCAAAUUUGGGUAUAGGGGCGAAAGACUAAUCGAACCAUCUAGUAGCUGGUUCCUGCCGAAGUU